RNAcentral lists this ribosomal RNA (85 nucleotides) under Salmonella enterica subsp. enterica serovar Takoradi. Its description in RNAcentral is "partial 23S ribosomal RNA". The record is from RNAcentral. Lineage: Bacteria; Pseudomonadati; Pseudomonadota; Gammaproteobacteria; Enterobacterales; Enterobacteriaceae.
UUGAUAGGCCGGGUGUGUAAGCGCAGCGAUGUGUUGAGCUAACCGGUACUAAUGAACCGUGAGGCUUAACCUUACAACGCCGAAG